Molecule: ribosomal RNA, 497 nt
Filed under: uncultured bacterium
Lineage: Bacteria
Description: partial 16S ribosomal RNA
Rfam family: Bacterial small subunit ribosomal RNA
Source: RNAcentral
GAUGAACGCUGGCGGCGUGCCUAAUACAUGCAAGUCGAGCGAACAGACGAGGAGCUUGCUCCUCUGACGUUAGCGGCGGACGGGUGAGUAACACGUGGAUAACCUACCUAUAAGACUGGGAUAACUUCGGGAAACCGGAGCUAAUACCGGAUAAUAUAUUGAACCGCAUGGUUCAAUAGUGAAAGACGGUUUUGCUGUCACUUCUAGAUGGAUCCGCGCCGCAUUAGCUAGUUGGUAAGGUAACGGCUUACCAAGGCAACUAUGCGUAGCCGACCUGAGAGGGUGAUAGGCCACACUGGAACUGAGACACGGUCCAGACUCCUAAGGGAGGCAGCAGUAGGGAAUCUUCCGCAAUGGGCGAAAGCUUGACGGAGCAACGCCGCGUGAGUGAUGAAGGUGUUCGGAUCGUAAAACUCUGUUAUUAGGGAAGAACAAAUGUGUAAGUAAAUAUGCACGUCGUGACGGUACCUAAUCAGAAAGCCACGGCUAACUACGUG